RNAcentral lists this ribosomal RNA (529 nucleotides) under Varecia variegata (ruffed lemur). RNAcentral's name for it is "partial 16S ribosomal RNA". It matches the Rfam family "Bacterial large subunit ribosomal RNA", at positions 1840 to 2582 of the family's 2925-position model. The record is from RNAcentral. Lineage: Eukaryota; Metazoa; Chordata; Mammalia; Primates; Lemuridae.
CUAACAUUAGAGGCACUGCCUGCCCAGUGACAUACGUUCAACGGCCGCGGUACCCUGACCGUGCAAAGGUAGCAUAAUCACUUGUUCUUUAAUUAAGGACUAGAAUGAAAGGCCACACGAGGGUUAAACUGUCUCUUGCUCUCAAUCAGUGAAAUUGACCUUCCCGUGAAGAGGCGGGAAUAUAAUAAUAAGACGAGAAGACCCUAUGGAGCUUAAAUCAACUAACCCAAUAGUAUAAACAUAAUUAACCUACAACAGGCAUAAACAUCUAUUAACUCUGGGUUAAAAAUUUCGGUUGGGGUGACCUCGGAGUAAAAUAUAUCCUCCGAAUAAUUUUAGCCUAGACCUUACCAGUCAAAUCAUAAAUUCAUACCUAAUUGACCCAAACUAUUUUGAUCAAUGGAACAAGUUACCCUAGGGAUAACAGCGCAAUCCUAUUAUAGAGUCCAUAUCAACAAUAGGGUUUACGACCUCGAUGUUGGAUCAGGACACCCUAAUGGUGCAACCGCUAUUAACGGUCCGUUUGUUC